RNAcentral lists this ribosomal RNA (461 nucleotides) under uncultured bacterium. RNAcentral describes it as "bacterial SSU rRNA". It matches the Rfam family "Bacterial small subunit ribosomal RNA", at positions 917 to 1382 of the family's 1533-position model. The record is from RNAcentral.
GGACCCGCACAAGCAGUGGAGUAUGUGGUUUAAUUCGAAGCAACGCGAAGAACCUUACCAGGUCUUGACAUCCAACGAACUCGCUAGAGAUAGCAAGGUGCCCUUCGGGGAGCGUUGAGACAGGUGGUGCAUGGUUGUCGUCAGCUCGUGUCGUGAGAUGUUGGGUUAAGUCCCGCAACGAGCGCAACCCUUACUGAUAGUUGCUACGCAAGAGCACUCUAUCGGGACUGCCGUUGACAAAACGGAGGAAGGUGGGGAUGACGUCAAAUCAUCAUGCCCCUUAUGACCUGGGCUACACACGUACUACAAUGGCUAUUAACAACGGGAAGCGAAGAGGUGACUCGGAGCCAAUCCAAAAAAAUAGUCUCAGUUCGGAUUGCAGGCUGCAACUCGCCUGCAUGAAGCCGGAAUUGCUAGUAAUCGCGGAUCAGCAUGCCGCGGUGAAUACGUUCCCGGGUCUU